RNAcentral lists this ribosomal RNA (492 nucleotides) under uncultured bacterium. RNAcentral describes it as "partial 16S ribosomal RNA". It matches the Rfam family "Bacterial small subunit ribosomal RNA", at positions 29 to 507 of the family's 1533-position model. The record is from RNAcentral.
AGUGAACGCUGGCGGUAGGCCUAGCACAUGCAAGUCGAACGGCAGCACAGUAAGAGCUUGCUCUUACGGGUGGCGAGUGGCGGACGGGUGAGGAAUACAUCGGAAUCUACUUUUUCGUGGGGGAUAACGUAGGGAAACUUACGCUAAUACCGCAUACGACCUACGGGUGAAAGCAGGGGAUCUUCGGACCUUGCGCGAUUGAAUGAGCCGAUGUCGGAUUAGCUAGUUGGCGGGGUAAAGGCCCACCAAGGCGACGAUCCGUAGCUGGUCUGAGAGGAUGAUCAGCCACACUGGAGCUGAGACACGGUCCAGACUCCUACGGGAGGCAGCAGUGGGGAAUAUUGGACAAAGGGCGCAAGCCUGAUCCAGCCAUACCGCGUGGGUGAAGAAGGCCUUCGGGUUGUAAAGCCCUUUUGUUGGGAAAGAAAAGCAGCAGGUUAAUACCCCGCUGUUCUGACGGUACCCAAAGAAUAAGCACCGGCUAACUUCGUG